UACGGAAGGCAGCAGUGGGGAAUAUUGCACAAUGGGCGCAAGCCUGAUGCAGCCAUGCCGCGUGUAUGAAGAAGGCCUUCGGGUUGUAAAGUACUUUCAGCGGGGAGGAAGGCGAUGUGGUUAAUAACCGCGUCGAUUGACGUUACCCGCAGAAGAAGCACCGGCUAACUCCGUGCCAGCAGCCGCGGUAAUACGGAGGGUGCAAGCGUUAAUCGGAAUUACUGGGCGUAAAGCGCACGCAGGCGGUCUGUUAAGUCAGAUGUGAAAUCCCCGGGCUUAACCUGGGAACUGCAUUUUGAAACUGGCAGGCUUGAGUCUCGUAGAGGGGGUAGAAUUCCAGGUGUAGCGGUGAAAUGCGUAGAGAUCUGGAGGAAUACCGGUGGCGAAGGCGGCCCCUGGGCGAAGACUGACGCUCAGGUGCGAAAGCGUGGGGAGCAAACAGGAUUAGAUACC
This 453-nucleotide ribosomal RNA is filed under the name uncultured bacterium. RNAcentral's name for it is "bacterial SSU rRNA". It matches the Rfam family "Bacterial small subunit ribosomal RNA", at positions 340 to 786 of the family's 1533-position model. The record is from RNAcentral.